AGUGAACGCUGGCGGUAGGCCUAACACAUGCAAGUCGAACGGCAGCACAGUAAGAGCUUGCUCUUACGGGUGGCGAGUGGCGGACGGGUGAGGAAUACAUCGGAAUCUACUUUUUCGUGGGGGAUCACGUAGGGAAACUUACGCUAAUACCGCAUACGACCUACGGGUGAAAGCAGGGGAUCUUCGGACCUUGCGCGAUUGAAUGAGCCGAUGUCGGAUUAGCUAGUUGGCGGGGUAAAGGCCCACCAAGGCGACGAUCCGUAGCUGGUCGGAUAGGAGGAUAGGCCACACUGGAACUGAGACACGGUCCAGACUCCUACGGGAGGCACCAGUGGGGAAUAGUGGACAAUGGGCGCAAGCCUGAUCCAGCCAUACCGCGUGGGUGAAGAAGGCCUUCGGGUUGUAAAGCCCUUUUGUUGGGAAAGAAAAGCAGCAGGUUAAUACCCCGCUGUUCUGACGGUACCCAAAGAAUAAGCACCGGCUAACUUCGUG
This 492-nucleotide ribosomal RNA is filed under the name uncultured bacterium. RNAcentral describes it as "partial 16S ribosomal RNA". It matches the Rfam family "Bacterial small subunit ribosomal RNA", at positions 29 to 507 of the family's 1533-position model. The record is from RNAcentral.